CAAUAACCAGCACUGUGGUGAGAUCAAGCCCCUGUGGUUCUUAUUAUGAUUGCAAGAUGCCUUCAGCAAUAACCAUCAGGAACCUUUGAAAGAGAAAAGAACCAGAUAGAUUCUCUGAGGAGUGGUGGCUCCAUGUCACUGAAUUUUUUGUUCUCCGUGUCUCAUCGGCUCUGGUAAACUUUCUCACUUCACAAAGAGAACAUAAGGAGGAGAGUGUGAUGAAGAAUGAAGACAGAAUAAGAGACAGAUGAAAAUAGAUUUUUGAUACUUUAGUAAAGUAUAUGGAUCCAACAUGAUUUAGGUUGUGGACCACUCAGUUACUUAAGGCAACACCUGUCCCCUUCCUGCCCCUUAUUCCCCAGAAUCUUGUUUGUUGUUGUUUGCUCAAGUUCACUUGGGUUUCUCUUACUUGCAACUCAAAACAUUCUGACUAUAAUCCUCUUGACUUUUUUUCUGUUUUUACAUUUCUUCCCUUUAGAUCUCUCUGUUUGUUGUCUACUGCACCCCCAUCCAAUAUUCUAUCAAAUUUUAUUCAGUUUACUUUUUCUCAUUUUUUCCCAUCUUAUGUGGCAUUAUAUUCUCUAUUUCCUUUAGUACUCUUUCCAUUACUCUGCUACCAUUUUUUUUUGGUUGUAUCCAUUCUUUAGCCAGAUCUAAUAAAAAUAGAUUCCUCUCUGAAAUAUCUUCCACAACUUAUGGUCAGGUCAAACAACUUUAGUAAACUUUAUAUGUUUAGACAAAUUCCAACCACAAAAUAGAGAAACUCUAUGCUUUUUUUACAUUAGUCAAGGACAACAAUAGUCACCAUUUUCCAUCUCUUAUAUUUUCCUUCUGUACUAUCACCAUUUGCUUUUAAGAACUAGUCCACUUCAGAAGUAAUAAAGUCCAGAAUCCUUUGGAACCAGAAAAUUAUUCUGAAAUAUAUAUGCAAAUUAAGGGACAUUAGAGGUAUAUUAGACUUAUACUAACAAUGAAUAGUAACACAUAAUAAACAAAAAAUAAUACAAUGUACCUAUGUAUUAUGUGAAAUAUAGAGGAGCUAGAGAAACAAUAUAUAAUAUAUGGUGUUUCUUACAAUUGAUAGCAUCUGUUCACAUCAAAAACUACUUUGAAGAAAGUUUCUUUCAAAAUGUCAUUGCAAUGAACUAUAUUUAUAAAACCAAAGUAAGUGUAAAAUAAAGAAUGACAUGUAAAUGACGAUAGGGAGGUUACCAUAUCAUGUUUAAAUAACAACCAAGUUCAAAAUCCUUCAAAUAGGAAUUGACCUUACCUGUCUCUUGAUCAAGAUUACCACUUUUUCAUCCAAAACAUUCAUUUAAAUUCAAAGAGUGCUUAUAAAUAAGUGUGUAAUUAUAGCUGAUAGUGACAAGUUUCACAGAUCAUCUGGCUAACAUCCAAAAAUCCAGAUAUUUUUGAGGGUUAUCCAACUGUAAAUAGUCAAGAAGUUCAAUUCAAUAAACAUUUUAAUGUACCUUCUUAUAGUGUGGGAACUAAAAUGUUGAUAAGAUAUGUUCUUAGUGCUUUAAGAUAGAGUCUACUGUAGGAGAAGAUUCAAGCACAUUACCCUAUGAUAAGUAUUCUAAUGGGCCUAGCAAAAAUUACUCUGAGAAGACAAGACUAAGUUAUAUCUCAUUAUUUCUGAGGGAGUUAACGAAAAAUACCAUGUAAUGAAAGUAUUUGGAUAAGAGUAAAAGGAUAUCCUAAAUACUGGGUGGAGGUGGGGAAACUAUUUCAUACAGAGGGUUAACAAUGUUACAAAGAAAUGGAAAUCUAAGAGCAUAUUGACAAAGACUCUUCCUUGACCAAACUUUAAUCAGUUUCCUCUGAACUCUCUUUCCUAUUGGGCCUGAACCCUAGUCCUUGUACCAGUCUUUGGCCUGCUCAGCUGAGUUUUAGCAAGUCUUCCCACUGUUAAUAUCUAACCACCCUUGGUGAUUUGAUAUAUAAAUUCUUGCCUGCCUUUAGCAAGAAGUGUGUUAGGACAGUUUAGCAAGAAUCACCCUAUAUCUCUUCUUAGUAAUUUUCAAUCCAUUAACCACUUACUCUGUUCAUUGGUUCUAAAUCCCCAGCUGCAUUUCUGUAUUUGGAGUUGUAAGCAAUCAACUCUCCCCUACUGCAAAAUCCCUAUUGCAAUUGUCUUGCAUAAAGUCCUUUGCCAUUUUAAUACGUGUCAGAAUAUAUUUUAAUAAUAUGACACCUCUAAGAUAUUUAAUCAGUAUGACUGAAAAAUUGUGGGAGAUCAACAUUAUCCCUAUGCUUAAGAAGCUUACAAUGUAUUUUAGGAGAUAAAUAUUAAGUAUAAUGCAAACAGAUACAAUAAAUUAUAAAAUAAAGUUAUGUAUAUAUAUAUGUUUAAUCUCUGAGAAACCAUUUAAUUCUAAUUUGGUAGGAAUUGGGAAGGCUUCAAGGAGAGAGAAAUAAAGAAAAGAAUGCAGUGAAAGUGGGGAAAUGCAUUCCAGUCAGAGGAAAAUGAGUAUUUUAAACCAUUAAACCUUAAAAUUAUAAAGGCUAAUGGGAAACCAAAUGGCAUCUGUGCACAGUGGAUGAAGUAAGUUUUGAAUUUAGACUAUUUAAAUUUGUUUGAAGAAUUUGUUCAAAGAUGACAGAUUGGAUACAAGUGUUUUCUUUCAUUCCCUGCCAAAGUCUCAUAUAAAAGACAUAAAUGACAUGAAAUGGAACGCCUCCAUAGGACAAAGAGAAUGAAUGAAGAGAUAAUAGUGAAAUAUUUUGAAAAAGGAAAAUGGAUAAGUGAUGAUUAACUUCACAAAUACCAAACCAAACAAACAGACAAGCAAACUUGAUCCUAAAGGAACAAUGAAAAAAAAGAAGACUUCGAAAAUUCCAAAACACUCAGGAAAUGGUAGCACUGAAUACUGCUUGAUGUAGGUGCUUUCCAGAAUAAAAUUCAAUGACCUUUAAAGAGAGACAGAAGAGUCAAACUCCACACAACAUAUCCACAAAGUCCAGCAUAAUUUUAUGUACAUAUAUAUGACAUGGAAUAAAUAACUAUAAAUAUUUAUUCAGAAAAAUUAGUCUAAAAUCAAUUUUAAAAAUAAGAGGAAUUGUUAAUAGAAAUAGAACCCAUAAUAACUGAGAUGUCAGCGUUAGCAGAAAAGAUUUUAAAACUCUAACAUAAAUAGGUACAAGGUAAUAAAGGAAAAGAUGCACAUGAUGAGUAAAAUGAUGGGAAAUCAAGUCUGCUCAAAUGUCUGAAAUGGAAAUAGAAAUUCCAGGAUAUAAUAGUGCAAUAUCUAGAAUGAACAAAUGAAUGGGAUUACCAGAAGGUUAGCAGCUGCAAAGUAGAUAAAUAAAUAAAGAAACACACAACAGAAAUGACCCAACUCGUAUUUAAAAAGGGACAAACAAAUAAUUGAAAGACUAUUAAGAGAGCUCAAUAUUAUGUGAAACAAUAUUAAGAAGUCUGAUGUAAAUAAGUUGGAAUCCAUGAAAGUGAAGAAAGAGUGAAUGAUUCAGAAAAAAAACACAGUAUUUGAACAAAUAAUAGUGAAAAUUCCCAAUAUUUUACAAAGUAUCCAAAUCCAACAAAGCUAAACACACUCAAGUGGGACAAAUUUAAAGAAGACAGUCACAUCAUAGCCAAACACUGAAGAUAACACAAAUCUUAAAAGCAUCCAGAGAAAUAUGAUACACAUUUAGUUAUCAAGGAUAUCCAUAUGAAACCAUGCUGAUGUAUAAUCACACAUGAGAAUAGGUCAAAUUAAAAAGAA
Felis catus (domestic cat) is the source of this 3728-nucleotide long non-coding RNA. RefSeq lists it as uncharacterized. The transcript is spliced from 4 exons. The record is from RefSeq and is a predicted model, not a curated record. Lineage: Eukaryota; Metazoa; Chordata; Mammalia; Carnivora; Felidae.